This 440-nucleotide ribosomal RNA is filed under the name uncultured bacterium. RNAcentral describes it as "partial 16S ribosomal RNA". It matches the Rfam family "Bacterial small subunit ribosomal RNA", at positions 338 to 795 of the family's 1533-position model. The record is from RNAcentral.
CCUACGGGGUGCAGCAGUGGGGAAUAUUGCACAAUGGGGGAAACCCUGAUGCAGCGACGCCGCGUGAGUGAUGAAGUUUUUCGGUAUGUAAAGUCCUAUCAGCAGAGAAGAAAAUGACGGUAUCUAACUAAUAAGCACCGGCUAACUACGUGCCAGCAGCCGCGGUAAUACGUAGGGGGCAAGCGUUACCCGGAUUUACUGGGGUUAAAGGGCGCGAAGGCGGGAGAGUAAGCCAGAUGUGAAACCCGAGGGCUAAACCCUAGGAAUGCUUUUGAAACUAUCAGUCUAGAGUAGUGGAGGGGUAGGCGGAAUUCCUGGUGUAGCGGUGAAAUGCGUAGAUAUUAGGAGGAACACCGAUGGCGAAGGCGACUUACUGGACAAAAACUGACACUGAGGCGCGAAAGCGUGGGGAGCAAACAGGAUUAGAUACCCGAGUAGUC